UUAAUUUUUAUUUAUUUUUAUUAUUUUAUUGUUUCUUCACAUUCUUAUUGCACAGAAAAAACAAUUGAAUUACAAAGCCCUGGAAGCUCACAAUAAUAAUAAUAAUAAUAAUAAUAAUAAUAAUAAUAAUAAUAAUAAUAAUAAUAAUAAUAAUAAUGAAAAUAUGAAAAAUUAUAAUAAAUACAUGAUUCGUACACGUCUCUCUCUCUCUCUCUCUCUCUCUCUCUCUCUCUCUCUCUCUCUCUCUCUCUCUCUCUCACACGUACACACACACGCACACACACAUACAUACACAUACACACAGUAGUAAUAAUAAACAUAUAAUGAUAAUAUUUAAUUAGAAUACCAUAACAAACGUCAGUAACAUGUAUAUGGGGGGGGGAGGGGAGAGAGAGAGAGAGGCGCAGUUCCCACGUCACUAGGGAAGGCAGGAAAGGAAGGGAGAGACAAAGAAGAACACACAAACAAACACACAAGCAAAUAACAGUGACUCUGGAACUGGCCCGGGAGGAGGAGGAGGAGGAGGAGGAGGGAGAAGAAGAGGAGGAGAAGGAAGAGGAAAUUCAAGGGAAGGAAGAACCAUUAAGGGGGUCAUCCAGAAAGGGUUACAGCUGACGAAUUUGCGAAUGAGAGAGAGAGAAAAAGGAAGGAAAAUAGGAAUAGGAAGAGAAUGAAGGAAGGAAGGAAGAAAUGCAUAGAAGAAAAUGAAGAAAGGAAGAUUAGAAAGCAAUACAAGGAAGGAAAUUGAUAUAGGAACAAAGAGAUGAGAGAAGAAAGGAAAAGAAGAAAACACAGAAGGGGAAGGGAAAGAAAGAAAAAUAGGAAUAGGGAGAAAAGGAAGAAAGAAAAAAGAAAAACGAAUAGAAGAAAAUGAAGAAAGGAAGAUUAGAAAACAACACAAGGAUGGAAAUUGAUAAAGAAACAGCGAUAAGAAAGAAGAAAGGAAAAGAAAGAAACUGAAGGAAACACAGGAAAGGGAAGGGAAAGGAAUCAUUGAGGGGAGCAUUCCGGUAAGAAAAAUAGGAAUAGAGAGGAAAGGAAGAAAGAAAAAAGAAAAACGAAUAGAAGAAAAUGAAGAAAGGAAGAUUAGAAAGCAAUACAAGAAAGGACAUUGAUAAAGGAAGAAGGAUAAGAAAGAAGAAAGGAAUUAAAGAAGAAAACAUCAGGGGAAGGGAAAGGAAUCAUUAAGGGGAGCAUUCCGGUAAGAAAAAUAGGAAUAGAGAGGAAAGGAAGAAAGAAAAACGAAAAACGAAUAGGAGAAAAUGAAGAAAGGAAGAUUAGAAAGCAAUACAAGAAAGGACAUUGAUAAAGGAAGAAGGAUAAGAAAGAAGAAAGGAAUUAAAGAAGAAAACAUCAGGGGAAGGAAAAGGAGCAUUCGGGGAGGGUGGAGACUGACGAAAUUUGCGAGCGGAGCCAGAAAGCGUUGACAUAAUAUAAUCUAACUUAAGACUAUAAUUAUUACGUACAAAUUACAUCACAUUGAGAGAAGAGUUGCCCAGUUAUCAUCGUCAUCAGCAGCAUACGUACUUGGUGGCGCACACGAACACACACACACACACACACACACACACACACACACACACGCAAACACAUACAUACACACGCAAACACAUACAUAUCUUAUGUACAUACUGUACAUAAGAUUUUGAUACAUUUCAUGGGUAUAUAUGUAUGGAUAGGUCAGCUUACACACACACACACACACACACACACACACACACACACAUACAUAAGAUUUUGAUACAUUUCAUGGGUAUAUAUGUAUGGAUAGGUUAGCUUACACACACACACACACACACACACACACACACACACACACACACACACACACACACAUACACACACACACAUACAUACAUAAGAUUUUGAUACAUUUCAUGGGUAUAUAUGUAUGGAUAGGUCAGCUUACACACACACACACACACACACACACACACACACACACACACACACACACAUACAUAAGAUUUUGAUACAUUUCAUGGGUAUAUAUGUAUGGAUAGGUUAGCUCACACACACACACACACACACACACACACACACACACACACACACACACA
Molecule: long non-coding RNA, 2060 nt
Organism: Eriocheir sinensis (Chinese mitten crab)
Lineage: Eukaryota; Metazoa; Arthropoda; Malacostraca; Decapoda; Varunidae
Exons: 2
Source: RefSeq, a predicted model, not a curated record